AGUGAACGCUGGCGGUAGGCCUAACACAUGCAAGUCGAACGGCAGCACAGUAAGAGCUUGCUCUUACGGGUGGCGAGUGGCGGACGGGUGAGGAAUACAUCGGAAUCUACUUUUUCGUGGGGGAUAACGUAGGGAAACUUACGCUAAUACCGCAUACGACCUACGGGUGAAAGCAGGGGAUCUUCGGACCUUGCGCGAUUGAAUGAGCCGAUGUCGGAUUAGCUAGUUGGCGGGGUAAAGGCCCACCAAGGCGACGAUCCGUAGCUGGUCUGAGAGGAUGAUCAGCCACACUGGAACUGAGACACGGUCCAGACUCCUACGGGAGGGAGCAGUGGGGAAUAUUGGACAAUGGGCGCAAGCCUGAUCCAGCCAUACCGCGUGGGUGAAGAAGGCCUUCGGGUUGUAAAGCCCUUUUGUUGGGAAAGAAAAGCAGCAGGUUAAUACCCCGCUGUUCUGACGUUACCCAAAGAAUAAGCACCGGCUAACUUCGUG
RNAcentral lists this ribosomal RNA (492 nucleotides) under uncultured bacterium. Its description in RNAcentral is "partial 16S ribosomal RNA". It matches the Rfam family "Bacterial small subunit ribosomal RNA", at positions 29 to 507 of the family's 1533-position model. The record is from RNAcentral.